AAUGUCGGGAACUCCAGGGAGACUGCCGGUGAUAAACCGGAGGAAGGGGGGGACGACGUCAAGUCAUCAUGGCCCUUACGAGUAGGGCUACACACGUGCUACAAUGGCGCAUACAGAGGGCUGCCAACCAGCGAUGGUGAGCGAAUCCCAAAAAGUGCGUCGUAGUCCGGAUUGGAGUCUGCAACUCGACUCCAUGAAGUCGGAAUCGCUAGUAAUCGUGAAUCAGAAUGUCACGGUGAAUACGUUCCCGGGCCUUGUACACACCGCCCGUCACACCAUGGGAGUGGGCUGCAAAAGAAGUGGGUAGUUUAACCUUUCGAGGAGGACGCUCACCACUUUGUGGUUCAUGACUGGGGUGAAGUCGUAACAAGGUAGCGCUAGGGGAACCUGGCGCUGGAUCACCUCCUUAUACGAUGAU
Molecule: ribosomal RNA, 418 nt
Filed under: Vibrio renipiscarius
Lineage: Bacteria; Pseudomonadati; Pseudomonadota; Gammaproteobacteria; Vibrionales; Vibrionaceae
Description: bacterial SSU rRNA
Rfam family: Bacterial small subunit ribosomal RNA
Source: RNAcentral